Molecule: long non-coding RNA, 1217 nt
Organism: Daphnia pulex (common water flea)
Lineage: Eukaryota; Metazoa; Arthropoda; Branchiopoda; Diplostraca; Daphniidae
Exons: 4
Source: RefSeq, a predicted model, not a curated record
UGGAAGAAACAACACGAAGGUUUGACUUGCGAAAAAUUUGCCGAGUGGAAAGAAGCUAACGACCCGGAAUAUCAAGCCGAAGGACUGGCUAAACAUUUGGCAGAGAAGGGAAUACGUUGUCCACAAUGCCGUUUCCAGUUUUCACUAACUCGUUGAGGAUGCAUGCACUUCACUUGCACUCAGUGCAAAUGGGGUUGGGGUUAUACGUCCAUAAAAGCAAUGAAACUUUUAAUAAUUUAUUACAAAAUCCCGCAACAUAAUUUUGUUCUGGGUGCGACCGGCAGUUUUUAAUGGGUUCCCGGUGUGGAGUUGGGCCAUUUUGUGACAAACUUGGAUUGCACGCCCAUCACCCUCAAAAUUUUCUAUCUACGAGACAAGGAGCCGCGGGAUCUCCAAAAGCUUUUGACGGAACAUGGAGUUCCAUUCAUGACUUCAUUCCGGGAUAGGCCCCAUUCAUGGGCAGGCUGGACUUUGCAGGUGAGACGCUAAUAGCUGGGCAAGUUGAAUUACAUAAGAAAGACAAUUUUACUGGUGGGAGAGGAUGUUUUCUGAAAUAAAAUCUCUGCGGGUGAUUGGACUGAAAUAAGGCUCCAUUAUGUGGAAUACCUUGCGGCCUUGAUCACGAAAAACGAUGUGGAUCCCUUGGAUAUCUUUAGCUCAGAUGAACUUGAAACGUUAAUACAAACGGCCGGCAUUCGGCGGCCAUCUCGGAAUCUUCCACCGAACGCACCUCUUGUGUCAUACCGCCGUAGACUACUUGAGGUAUCAUUGAAUUUGUUAUUUGUUUUUUGUUUUUUGUUUCACUAGGCACAUAAUCCCAACAAUUAACUCAAACAUGAAGAGAAGUGGAAAUUGGCUGUUAGCAAGAUGACUAGUAAAGAUAACAUUGGAAUUAUUCAUCGUGUUCCAACUAUUCAGCAUAUUCUCAAACAAUCUGACUUUGAUAACUACGUUGCUAUUGUUGAAAGACUUUUCAGCCAAGGAAGUCUGAUUUUCUCUCCAAGACGUUUGAAUUUGACUGACAACACUUCGAAUGUUACUGUUCUUAAAAGUGACAAUCUGACAAGAUUGUAAAAUACUGGUGAUAUUGUGAUUUAAUGAAUGACACACUGAAAAAUUCAGUAAUCAUAAUUGUUUUUCAUUUUUGUCUAUUUGUCUUAUGAUUACCUCUUCUCUUGCUUAACUUGAAAAAUAAAAACAAAAUGUCUGAAACUGAA